This 111-nucleotide antisense RNA is filed under the name Lysobacter dokdonensis DS-58. RNAcentral describes it as "Xanthomonadaceae sRNA asX1". It matches the Rfam family "Xanthomonadaceae sRNA asX1". The record is from Rfam by way of RNAcentral. Lineage: Bacteria; Pseudomonadati; Pseudomonadota; Gammaproteobacteria; Lysobacterales; Lysobacteraceae.
CACCCGGGGUGGCAGGCGCUUCAAGGCGCCGCCGGAUUGGAACAGGGGCUGGCGAGUACACGCCGGGGAAGCGCAGGGGCCGAAUGUCGGGGGACGUUCGGCCCCUUUUUU